CAGAGUUCAUGCCCUAAACGGGUAGACCUCCCACCCUUGGAUAUUAUACCUUUGUUGCUUUGGCGGGCCGCCACGGCCACUGGCUUCGGCUGGUGAGUGCCCGCCAGAGGAUCACAAACUCUGAAUUUACAGUGUCGUCUGAGUACUAUACAAUUAGUUA
This 160-nucleotide unclassified non-coding RNA is filed under the name uncultured Helotiales. Its description in RNAcentral is "sequence contains ITS1". Lineage: Eukaryota; Fungi; Ascomycota; Leotiomycetes; Helotiales. The record is from RNAcentral.